CCUUACAGGAAGUGGCCUGUCUGACCAUUUCUUGCCCUCCUUGAUCAUCUCUAACAAAUACAGGGGAUCUCUGGCAUGACGUGACACUUCCUACGGCUCCCAUGGGCUCUCAGAAGGCGGGAAAAAGCUGAACGAUGUAAUUCCAUCCCCAGGCUGAAACACAUUAGCGCGUUUGGCAAGUGCUCUAUCAGAGGGCCAUUAGACUGAGGCUCGUGCAUGAGGGGAUAGCAUGCUUUUACUUUCACUCUCUUUGUAAUAAAAAACGAUUUCCUGGUCAGAAUAUUAUCGCUUUUUUACGAGAAAAAUGGCAUAAAAAUAGAUUUUAAACAGCGGUUGACAUGCUUCGAAGAACGGUAAUGGAAUAUUUAGAAUUUUUUUGUCACGAAAUGCGCCAUGCUCGUCACCCUUCUUUACCCUUCGGAUAGUGUCUUGAACGCACGAACAAAACGCCGCUAUUUGGAUAUAACAAUGGAUUAUUUGGGACCAAACCAACAUUUGUUAUUGAAGUAGAAGUCCUGGGAGUGCAUUCUGACGAAGAACAGCAAAGAAGGACCUGAGCCCCAGGACCAUGUCUCAGGACUAUCUGGCUUGAUGACUCCUUGCUGUGCCCAGUCUACCUGCUCAUACUGCUGCUCCAGUUUCAACUGUUCUGCCUGCAGCUAUGGAACCCUGACCUGUUCACCAGACAUGCUACCUUGUCCCAGACCUGCUGUUUUGGACUCUCUCUCUACCGCACCUGCUCUGAAUGCUUUGCUAUGAAAAGCCAACUGACAUUUACUCCUGAGCUAUCAAGGCCUAGUACUGUGCUGAUCUCCCUGGACGGUGGGUCCUAUCAAGGCCCAGUGCUGUGCUGAUCUCCCUGGACGGUGGGUCCUAUCAAGGCCCAGUGCUGUGCUGAUCUCCCUGGACG
RNAcentral lists this long non-coding RNA (910 nucleotides) under Salmo salar (Atlantic salmon). Its description in RNAcentral is "lncRNA (ENSSSAG00000102596.1)". The record is from RNAcentral. Lineage: Eukaryota; Metazoa; Chordata; Actinopteri; Salmoniformes; Salmonidae.